GCCGGGGUGGCUUAGCCUGGUAAGAGCGCUCGGCUCAUAACCGAGAGGUCGCGGGUUCAAACCCCGCCCCCGGCA
Molecule: transfer RNA, 75 nt
Filed under: Methanomicrobia archaeon
Lineage: Archaea; Methanobacteriati; Methanobacteriota; Methanomicrobia
Description: tRNA-Met
Rfam family: tRNA
About the family: Transfer RNA (tRNA) molecules are approximately 80 nucleotides in length. Their secondary structure includes four short double-helical elements and three loops (D, anti-codon, and T loops). Further hydrogen bonds mediate the characteristic L-shaped molecular structure. tRNAs have two regions of fundamental functional importance: the anti-codon, which is responsible for specific mRNA codon recognition, and the 3' end, to which the tRNAs corresponding amino acid is attached (by aminoacyl-tRNA synthetases). tRNAs cope with the degeneracy of the genetic code in two manners: having more than one tRNA (with a specific anti-codon) for a particular amino acid; and 'wobble' base-pairing, i.e. permitting non-standard base-pairing at the 3rd anti-codon position.
Source: RNAcentral